This is an RNA transcript of Capra hircus (goat), 400 nucleotides long. RefSeq lists it as uncharacterized. The record is from RefSeq and is a predicted model, not a curated record. NCBI's taxonomy places the organism in Eukaryota, Metazoa, Chordata, Mammalia, Artiodactyla, Bovidae. The transcript is spliced from 2 exons.
ACAGCCCACAAAUUCCACCUGCUCACAGGUUGGCUGGCUCAUCCAAGGCGGUAUCCCCUGCUCUGAGCAUCCAGGCCGAGUCCACCCAGCACCAUGGCCAGAUACCGAUGCUGCCUCACCCAUAGCCGGAGCAGAUGCCGCCGCCGCCGCCGAAGAAGAUGUCGCAGACGAAGGAGGCGCUUUGGUCGGAGGCGCAGGAGGAGAGUGUGCUGCCGCCGCUACACCGUUGUAAGGUGUACAAGACAGUAACCGCACAGUAGCAAGACCACCGCACUCCUGCCUGAAAGAUUACCAGCCUUCAAGGCCCUCUUGCCACAUCUUGAACAUGCCACCGUUCCAAUGACAUGAACAGGAGCCUGCUGACGAACAAUGCCACCUGUCAAUAAAUGUUGGAAGACAU